This 253-nucleotide ribosomal RNA is filed under the name uncultured bacterium. Its description in RNAcentral is "partial 16S ribosomal RNA". It matches the Rfam family "Bacterial small subunit ribosomal RNA", at positions 524 to 776 of the family's 1533-position model. The record is from RNAcentral.
UACGUAGGGGGCGAGCGUUGUCCGGAUUUACUGGGCGUAAAGAGCGUGUAGGCGGUCCGGUAAGUCUGUCGUGAAAUCCUGAGGCUCAACCUCGGGCGUGCGAUGGAUACUGCCGGGCUAGAGGGUGGUAGAGGCGAGUGGAAUUCCCGGUGUAGCGGUGAAAUGCGCAGAUAUCGGGAGGAACACCAGUAGCGAAGGCGACUCGCUGGGCCACACCUGACGCUGAGACGCGAAAGCUAGGGGAGCAAACAGG